This 468-nucleotide ribosomal RNA is filed under the name uncultured bacterium. RNAcentral's name for it is "partial 16S ribosomal RNA". It matches the Rfam family "Bacterial small subunit ribosomal RNA", at positions 28 to 507 of the family's 1533-position model. The record is from RNAcentral.
GACGAACGCUGGCGGCGUGCUUAACACAUGCAAGUCGAACGGAAAGGCCCUGCUUUUGUGGGGUGCUCGAGUGGCGAACGGGUGAGUAACACGUGAGUAACCUGCCCUUGACUUUGGGAUAACUUCAGGAAACUGGGGCUAAUACCGGAUAGGAGCUCCUGCUGCAUGGUGGGGGUUGGAAAGUUUCGGCGGUUGGGGAUGGACUCGCGGCUUAUCAGCUUGUUGGUGGGGUAGUGGCUUACCAAGGCUUUGACGGGUCGCCGGCCUGAGAGGGUGACCGGCCACAUGGGGACUGGGAUACGGCCCAGACUCCUACGGGAGGCAGCAGUGGGGAAUAUUGCACAAGGGGCGGAAGCCUGAUGCAGCAACGCCGCGUGCGGGAUGACGGCCUUCGGGUUGUAAACCGCUUUCGCCUGUGACGAAGCGUGAGUGACGGUAAUGGGUAAAGAAGCACCGGCUAACUACGUG